Long non-coding RNA from Condylostylus longicornis, 1542 nucleotides. RefSeq lists it as uncharacterized. Lineage: Eukaryota; Metazoa; Arthropoda; Insecta; Diptera; Dolichopodidae. The record is from RefSeq and is a predicted model, not a curated record. The transcript is spliced from 4 exons.
UCAAAACUAAGUAUAAUAAUUAUAAACUCGUAAUCUAAAUUAAACACAUACAUAAUAGAAAUUUUCUUUCAUUACGAAAAGAAAGUUUCAUAUCAUUGUGUAAUUUGAAAUUCGAGCAAGAAAUAUAAGUAUGUAUGUAUGUAUGUUUAAUGUGAUAUAAUACUAUAUGUAUGUAUGUCAUAUUAAAUUUUUAGUGGCAGUAAGUAUACAAGUUUUUGCUAGUAGAGUUGCAAGCUCUUUAUUCUGUAGAAAGCUCAAUAUUGCAAUUUAUUUAUAUAUUUGAGGAAAUUGUACUAAGCCCAUUGUUUUUCUUUAUUGUUUUUACGAUGUCAAAUUCAUGGAUUUAAUACGAGGAUUCGAACUGGAUCCGAGCUAGGUGGAUCCUUUACCAUACAACAAACUGGAUCCGAGUUAGGUGGAUCCUUUCAACACAUGAACGAUCUAGUCCCGAGCAGGGUGAAUCCUCUCAAUAUAUAGGUGAAUAGGAUCCGAGUUAGAUAGAUCCUUUCAACAAAAUGAAACGAUCUUUUGCAACAAAAAGGCAAACAGGAUCUGAGCUAGGUAGAUCCUUUCAACAUAUAAUGAAAUUUGAUCCGAGCGAGGUGGAUUCAUGCGACAAAAAGUCGAACUGGAUCCAAACUAGGUGGAUCCUUUCAACACAAUGAAACUGGAUCCUUGCAACAAAAAAGCAAACAGGAUCCGAAUUAGGUGGAUCCUUUCAACACAAUGAAAAUGAAUACUUACAACAAAAAGGCAAAAAGGAUCCGAGCUAGGUGGAUCCUUUCAACACAUAAUGAAAGUGGAUCCUUUCAACACAUAAUGAAAGUGGAUCCUUACAACAAAAAGACAAGCAGGAUCCGAGCUAGGUGGAUCCUUUCAACACAUAAAAGGUUCUGGAUCCGAGCUAGGUGGAUCCUUUCAACUCAUAAAAGGUUUAUGCAACAAAAAAGGCGAAAUGGAUCCGAGCUAGGUGGAUCAUUUCAACAUAUGAACGAUCUGGAUCCGAGCUAGGUGGAUCCUUUCAACAUAUGAACGACCUGAAUCCGAAUUAGAUAGAACCAAUUGCCACAAUGCAUCUCAUAUGGGCAAUCAUUUAUGGAUCAGAGAAUAAAGUGAAAAUGAAUUUUUUCCCUAUUUCAUAAUUUGGAAGUUAAUUAAAUUGUAAAAUUGCAAGAAUAUACGGAGAAGGAUGCAACUGGGAAAGAGGUGGUUACAUCGAUUUUGAUAAAUUUGUUUUCAUUACGACACAUAAAUGCUUUUAAAACAAUAAAGGACAAUUUCAAGUUUCGAUCAAUGGUUAAUGUAAGGCAGAAAUCAAGAAAAAGAUCAAAAAUUUAAAAGAUUAAGAAUUGAAGAUCAAAAAAUCAAAAAUUUAAUCAAGAAUUGCGGCCGUUAUUCAGUUGAUUUGGUACUAAUAUAGUUUUCCUUAACAGUUUGGUCGCAAUUCGCAAAAAUAGUUCGUAAAAUUUGAAAUUGUGUACGUAAAAGCAAAAUCCUUUUCAAUAAUAUCACAUGGCCUGGAGUGAUGAAACUUAACAGAAU